AUGGAUCUUUCCAGCUCCUCCCGUCCUCGUCGGCGUCAUCCUCGCCCGAGCACGCGUCGGGGCGGGCGUCGCCGGCCAAGCGCCCCGCGGAGCGCACCAAGUUCCGGGAGACGCGGCACCCGGUGUACCGCGGCGUGCGGCGCAGGGGCAACGCGGGGCGGUGGGUGUGCGAGGUGCGCGUCCCUGGCAAGCGUGGUUCUCGGCUCUGGCUCGGGACGUACCUGA
Molecule: ribosomal RNA, 225 nt
Filed under: Triticum aestivum (bread wheat)
Lineage: Eukaryota; Viridiplantae; Streptophyta; Magnoliopsida; Poales; Poaceae
Description: partial small subunit ribosomal RNA
Source: RNAcentral